This 408-nucleotide ribosomal RNA is filed under the name Triticum aestivum (bread wheat). RNAcentral's name for it is "partial small subunit ribosomal RNA". The record is from RNAcentral. Lineage: Eukaryota; Viridiplantae; Streptophyta; Magnoliopsida; Poales; Poaceae.
CAAGUAUUCUCAAUUGCGACAUGGAGCGGGAGUAGAUUCUCAAUGACAUCAUUGCCAAUAGUGCGCACAUUGGGUGAUGCACCAUGGCGUAAAAGCAGCUUGAUCAUGUCAACAGAGAACCUUUCAGCAGCUUCGUGGAGCACGAAGUAUCCAUAUUUAUUUAUGCAGUUGGGAUUGGCGUGCAUCCCAUAGAGCUCAGGUGCCAUGCCCUCCAAUACGACUUUUGCACAUCGCAGGGCGUUGAAACUGACAAUGAAGGUUAAGGUUUGUGCGGUGAUGGUAAGAUAAGAUGAUAUGCCCCGGCCUUCACAGUUCACGAAAAAUCGGAGGAAGCACUGGACACUAUCCUUUACAAGGAUGUGCUCCAAUUCGGCAUAUAUGUCCAAGAAGGCAUCACCCACAAACUAG